UACGUAGGGCGCAAGCGUUGUCCGGAAUUAUUGGGCGUAAAGAGCUCGUAGGCGGUGUGUCACGUCGAUCGUGAAAACUUUCAGCUUAACUGGGAGCUUGCGGUCGAUACGGGCAUCACUGGAGUUCGGCAGGGGAGACUGGAAUUCAAGGUGUAGCGGUGAAAUGCGCAGAUAUCUUGAGGAACACCGGUGGCGAAGGCGGGUCUCUGGGCCGAUACUGACGCUGAGGAGCGAAAGCGUGGGGAGCGAACAGG
RNAcentral lists this ribosomal RNA (254 nucleotides) under uncultured bacterium. RNAcentral describes it as "partial 16S ribosomal RNA". It matches the Rfam family "Bacterial small subunit ribosomal RNA", at positions 524 to 776 of the family's 1533-position model. The record is from RNAcentral.